UAAAAAUGUGUAGAACAGGUAUCGCAUACAUAUUCACGUGUUCUAUACAUCUUUACA
Molecule: microRNA precursor, 57 nt
Filed under: Strongylocentrotus purpuratus (purple sea urchin)
Lineage: Eukaryota; Metazoa; Echinodermata; Echinoidea; Camarodonta; Strongylocentrotidae
Description: microRNA spu-mir-5993 precursor
Source: miRBase by way of RNAcentral